Molecule: ribosomal RNA, 253 nt
Filed under: uncultured bacterium
Lineage: Bacteria
Description: partial 16S ribosomal RNA
Rfam family: Bacterial small subunit ribosomal RNA
Source: RNAcentral
UACGUAGGGUGCGAGCGUUAUUCGGAAUUACUGGGCGUAAAGGGCUCGUAGGCGGCCAACUAAGUCAGACGUGAAAUCCCUCGGCUUAACCGGGGAACUGCGUCUGAUACUGGUUGGCUUGAAUCCGGGAGAGGGAUGUGGAAUUCCAGGUGUAGCGGUGAAAUGCGUAGAUAUCUGGAGGAACACCGGUGGCGAAGGCGGCAUCCUGGACCGGUAUUGACGCUGAGGAGCGAAAGCCAGGGGAGCAAACGGG